RNAcentral lists this ribosomal RNA (726 nucleotides) under uncultured bacterium. Its description in RNAcentral is "bacterial SSU rRNA". It matches the Rfam family "Bacterial small subunit ribosomal RNA", at positions 59 to 774 of the family's 1533-position model. The record is from RNAcentral.
CAGUCGAGGGGCAGCAUGGUCUUAGCUUGCUAAGACUGAUGGCGACCGGCGCACGGGUGAGUAACACGUAUCCAACCUGCCGUCUACUCUUGGACAGCCUUCUGAAAGGAAGAUUAAUACAAGAUGGCAUCAUGAGUCCGCAUGUUCACAUGAUUAAAGGUAUUCCGGUAGACGAUGGGGAUGCGUUCCAUUAGAUAGUAGGCGGGGUAACGGCCCACCUAGUCUUCGAUGGAUAGGGGUUCUGAGAGGAAGGUCCCCCACAUUGGAACUGAGACACGGUCCAAACUCCUACGGGAGGCAGCAGUGAGGAAUAUUGGUCAAUGGGCGAGAGCCUGAACCAGCCAAGUAGCGUGAAGGAUGACUGCCCUAUGGGUUGUAAACUUCUUUUAUAAAGGAAUAAAGUCGGGUAUGCAUACCCGUUUGCAUGUACUUUAUGAAUAAGGAUCGGCUAACUCCGUGCCAGCAGCCGCGGUAAUACGGAGGAUCCGAGCGUUAUCCGGAUUUAUCGGGUUUAAAGGGAGCGUAGAUGGAUGUUUAAGUCAGUUGUGAAAGUUUGCGGCUCAACCGUAAAAUUGCAGUUGAUACUGGAUAUCUUGAGUGCAGUUGAGGCAGGCGGAAUUCGUGGUGUAGCGGUGAAAUGCUUAGAUAUCACGAAGAACUCCGAUUGCGAAGGCAGCCUGCUAAGCUGCAACUGACAUUGAGGCUCGAAAGUGUGGGUAUCAAACA